RNAcentral lists this ribosomal RNA (468 nucleotides) under uncultured bacterium. RNAcentral describes it as "partial 16S ribosomal RNA". It matches the Rfam family "Bacterial small subunit ribosomal RNA", at positions 28 to 507 of the family's 1533-position model. The record is from RNAcentral.
GACGAACGCUGGCGGCGUGCUUAACACAUGCAAGUCGAACGGAAAGGCCCUGCUUUUGUGGGGUGCUCGAGUGGCGAACGGGUGAGUAACACGUGAGUAACCUGCCCUUGACUUUGGGAUAACUUCAGGAAACUGGGGCUAAUACCGGAUAGGAGCUCCUGCUGCAUGGUGGGGGUUGGAAAGUUUCGGCGGUUGGGGAUGGACUCGCGGCUUAUCAGCUUGUUGGUGGGGUAGUGGCUUACCAAGGCUUUGACGGGUAGCCGGCCUGAGAGGGUGACCGGCCACAUUGGGACUGAGAUACGGCACAGACUCCUACGGGAGGCAGCAGUGGGGAAUAUUGCACAAUGGGAGGAAGCCUGAUGCAGCAACGCCGCGUGCGGGAUGACGGCCUUCGGGUUGUAAACCGCUUUCGCCUGUGACGAAGCGUGAGUGACGGUAAUGGGUAAAGAAGCACCGGCUAACUACGUG